GAUGAACGCUGGCGGCAGGCCUAACACAUGCAAGUCGAGGGAGAGGUUACCUUCGGGUAACCAAAACCGGCGCACGGGUGCGUAACGCGUAUACAAUCUGCCUUUCACAUAGGGAUAGCCCGAAGAAAUUUGGAUUAAUACCUAAUGGUAUAUAAGAGCGGCAUCGUUUUUAUAUUAAAGCUACGGUGGUGAAAGAUGAGUAUGCGUUCUAUUAGCUAGUUGGAGAGGUAACGGCUCCCCAAGGCGACGAUAGAUAGGGGUUCUGAGAGGGAUGUCCCCCACACUGGUACUGAGAUACGGACCAGACUCCUACGGGAGGCAGCAGUGAGGAAUAUUGGACAAUGGUCGGAAGACUGAUCCAGCCAUGCCGCGUGCAGGAUGAAGGUCCUAUGGAUUGUAAACUGCUUUUGUAAGGGAAGAAUAAGGAGUACGUGUACUUUGAUGACGGUACCUUACGAAUAAGCAUCGGCUAACUCCGUG
This 480-nucleotide ribosomal RNA is filed under the name uncultured bacterium. RNAcentral describes it as "partial 16S ribosomal RNA". It matches the Rfam family "Bacterial small subunit ribosomal RNA", at positions 28 to 507 of the family's 1533-position model. The record is from RNAcentral.